This 498-nucleotide ribosomal RNA is filed under the name uncultured bacterium. RNAcentral describes it as "partial 16S ribosomal RNA". It matches the Rfam family "Bacterial small subunit ribosomal RNA", at positions 28 to 507 of the family's 1533-position model. The record is from RNAcentral.
GACGAACGCUGGCGGCGUGCCUAAUACAUGCAAGUCGAGCGGACGAAUCGAAAGCUUGCUUUUGAUUCGUUAGCGGCGGACGGGUGAGUAACACGUGGGCAACCUGCCCUGUAGACGGGGAUAACACCGAGAAAUCGGUGCUAAUACCGGAUAACACGAAAUGUCGCAUGACGUUUCGUUGAAAGACGGCGCAAGCUGCCGCUACAGGAUGGGCCCGCGGCGCAUUAGCUAGUUGGUGAGGUAACGGCUCACCAAGGCGACGAUACGUAGCCGACCUGAGAGGGUGAUCGGCCACACUGGGACUGAGACACGGCCCAGACUCCUACGGGAGGCAGCAGUAGGGAAUCUUCCGCAAUGGACGAAAGUCUGGCGGAGCAACGCCGCGUGAGCGAAGAAGGCCUUCGGGUCGUAAAGCUCUGUUGUUAGGGAAGAACAAGUAACGCAGUAACUGGCGUUACCGUGACGGUACCUAACGAGAAAGCCACGGCUAACUACGUG